This 24097-nucleotide long non-coding RNA is filed under the name Vitis vinifera (wine grape). RNAcentral's name for it is "long non-coding RNA (VVIN_LNC006354)". The record is from RNAcentral. Lineage: Eukaryota; Viridiplantae; Streptophyta; Magnoliopsida; Vitales; Vitaceae.
GACCUGAAAAUAACUCGGAAAGCUUAAAUUAUUAGAUAAUAAGCAAAAAAAAAAAAAAAACGUGCAUCAACUCAGACUAAUGGAUUUUUAAUAAACCCAAAAGCUUAAUCGAUUAGAAAAUAUACCAGCAACAGAUAUAAAAUUGACUAACAUUAACAACUUCACUCGAUGUUUUUUCAUUUACUCGGAAACUUGAAAAAAAAAUUCUUUUUUUGGUUAAUCUUAGAGCUUUAAUUAUUAGUAGUGAGUUGAACAACUCACCGUACCACUUGGCGAGCUCCUCGUCGGCGGGUGAAACGGGGGCGGGCUUGGCCUUGGCUGGCGCAGCCUUCUUCUUGGAGAAGAGGGCGACGGUCUUAAAGGUGGCGGGGCUGGAGGCGGAGGGAGCAGUUCUGGAGGCGCCGGAGAAGUUGAGAGGGUUACCGAGCAUCUCGGAGACGCCGAGGGAGGAGGCGGCGGUGGUGGCAGCGAGGGAGGCCAUGAGGGUCACCGGAAAGUUGAGUCUCCGGUAGUGGGAAGUGGAAGCAAUGGGUGGUGGGGAGGGUGAGGAGGCAGAUACUAAAUGGUGGAGCUGGUGGAUGUGGACGUGCCAAGUGGGAUGGAGGUGAUUGGUGGGAGAAGGGAAAGGCGUAAUCUGAAGGGGAGUUGUGAUAGGGUGGGUGGGGUGAGGUGGCAGAUGAUGGUGAUGACGUGGAAUGAUCCUAAACUUGUUGGUCGCUUGUGUUUGGAUAACACGGUCUAUCCAUUUUUGAUGUUCUUCUGAGAGGACAGGGAUGCUCUGCAAUUAAUUGUAGGAAAAGCAGGGAUAAAAUGUUCCAUUGCCACUACUAUUGAUUUUUUGGUGCACAAAAUUAUUCAUGGCCAUGGCAUAAAAAUGAAACCUGAAAUUGUGGUUGAGUCUUGAGAAUCUGAUACUAAGGUGGAAAAAUGAACUCAAAUCAUCAAUUAUAUUGAUUUUUUAAAACUCUCCUCCAAAAACAAAUGAGAAGAACUUAAAAAUUAUCAUAUUUUCUACUUUUAAUAAUAAUUUAUUUUUGUUUUUUUUGUUAUUAAACAUAUUUUUCUAUUUUUUUAAAUAAAAAACUAUUUUUAAAAACCGUUAUCAAACUGAUAAAUGGUUUAUAAUGGUCUCUCAUAAGUAAUUUUGUCAUAAUAGGCUUGAAAAUAUAAAUAAAUAAAUAAAUCAACCCUUUCACCACCUUACAAGUAUCUAUAUCAUCCUUUGAUCGACUAAUCCCUUCAUCACAAAUCUUCGCCUGUAUUUAAUUUACUCAAUAACUAUGGAGUUAAGUAAUUUGGGUUUAGAGCUUAAUUCAAAGGAAAAGUGAAGACUUGAUCACACUGAGUCGUUUGCUUGUAAUAGCUUCAAAGAUUAGAAACCCAAAUAUAUGUAUACAGUAUAACUAAACAUACACAGAAAAACAAAAUGGUUUUGCACUUCAUACAUGGAGCCAUUUCUGUAGAAAGUAAAAACCCUAGCAAGAGAACUUCAGAUUAAUUAGUAGACCCAAGAGUAGAUUCUUCAUCUCCUCCACUUCUCAAUCUCCCUCUCAGUUGCUUUGAUGAGCUUCUUGGUAUUUCUAACAACCUCAUCAACAAGAACACCGACGUCAUCCCUGAAAAUAGAAUAGAGAAAAAUAAAUAAAAGAAAAAAAAAGUGGAAAAACAUAGAAUCAAAAUUAUUAAAUUAUUUUUCCAUGCCUUUUCAAAAUCAUUUUAUUUUUAUUUUUUUCUCUUCCUUAUGAAGCCUAAAUAAUUUAAAAAAUACAUAAGGUUCAAACUAAUUUUAAUAAUAUUUUAUUCUCUUUUACAUUUCAUAGUAAAACAAAUAUGAGAAAAUUAUUUUUUUAAAAUUUUUUCCUUGCCUUGGUACUUUCCUAAAGCCAAAUAUAACAUAACGUUUUGCGUACAAUAUUUUCUAAAUACCUAUUACAUAUACUGAAAGUUUUUACAUUAUAAGGAUAUGUCAUCAAUUACACUUCUCAAAUUGCUCAUAAAGCUUCCGGCAAUUUUUGGGGUUAAACACUCAUGUCUUUAACAAAUACUAGGACAAAAAUGUGUAUAAGUUCUAUACAGCAUAGUUUAGACAUUUUGUUUUUUUUUUUAUAGGCAACUAGCAUGUGUAUAUAUAUAGUGUCUAAGUAAAUGGAAUGGCAAAGUACACAAUGCAUGCAACAACCCCAAAAAUAAAAUAAGCAUGCUUGAAGACGAGAGUUUACAGAAUCCUAGAAGAAAUGAUCUUUUUUUGUGAGUUUUGGUGGGGGUAGGUGGGUGGGGUGGGUGUGAAUUUGUUUUAAGAGCCAAAAGGGAGGACAAGAUGAUGUUUGAGCGUUUACUACAGGUAGAAACCUGCAAAUACACUUAAAAGAAUUUCUCAUCCAUAAGAAAGCAUCUCAAGUUGAUAAGAUCAUGUUUGAAGGUUUAAGGCCGUUAGAAACCCAGAAAAUGCACAUAAAAGAUUCUUUUGUCCGAGAAAAAGCUUCGCAAGGUGAGAAAAUGACAUUUCAAAGUUUCAUGCAAUUAAAACCAAAACAACUGACGUAUACUUACUGAGUAGGAAGAUCUCGUCCCUUAAAAAGCUUUCCAACAUUAGAGUAUCUCCUGUAUUCGUCAUGUGCAACACCCCUCCCCACACCAUAACCAAAUCCUAAACCAACCCCACAUCCAGCACCAAAUCCAACACCCAGCUGUAAUCCGGGAAUCCCAGGACCAAAGCCUAUACCUGGAGUAAAAAAUUGUUUAAGCAUUCACACUUCCACUAAGCAGAAGAAUUUUUCAUUAAACAUCAUUUUGAAUUAGGAUCAAGGGGUAAGGAGCAUUAUCAAUUGCUAUAUGAAAUUUUGAGAAAGAAAUUAAUUGAAAACAUAGAUCCUAGGCAGUGCCAUGUGGCAUAUACCUAUUUCGGUUUGUUCAUUUUUUCUGUACAUUUAAAAAAAUGAAAAAAGAAAUAAAAAUUCCAGAUGAUUAGAUUUUAAAAGAAAAAGGAAAGGAUGACAUAAUGAAAUGAAAAUAAAGUAAUGUCAGCAGACUCAAUACCAACAGCAUAAUCUGAACAAAGAGAACAAUUAAAACUCAAGCAUGCCCAACCCAAAACACUAGCCCAGUUAAGAUGCAAAACAAUGCUAAUCCUAUCAACUAUAAGCUUUUCCACCACAACUUACUCCAAGGCCUGUCUUUAUCCCCCACAGACCGUCAGGAUCCCUUGCAAAGAAGACCUUUGUUAAGAAGCAAUGAGAUGCUACUCAUCAUCUACUUAUCCUUGUAGCUGCCUAAACAAUUCUCUAGCUCAACAAAUGUGACAAACACCCUUCCCUCACCUCCAACCCCAAAGAAAUCCCUCUAGAGCUUCUCUAACCUCAAAAAAACUGAAACCCACAUCAUAGUGGGCAUAAAGUACACAAAGUAAGCUCCAAAGGUAUUAUGACUAAGAGUGAGGCUAUCGACCUUGAAUAAAUAUUGCCUCUUUCACAAGACUAGCAGGCUUUUAUUUCAGGCUACCCCUCUUAAAUAAAGGGCCCUGAACCUUUCCCCAGUUACCAUUUCUUGAUCUAUCCACAAUCUCUCACUAUGCAAAUACAUGAACUAGCUUCUCAAGACUAAUAUUCCACUUCUUAAAUCUUCCUACAAAGCGUUCAACUAAUAGCUAAAAUGCUAACACUCUACAAUGUUUUUGAAAAAUGAUCUUCCCAAUUUAAGAAAAUGUACGAAGCAGCCCAAGCAAAACACUUAUUACGCCCUUAACCCACCAGCCUAACUAAAAUUACUCCUACCAGUAAGCCAGUCAGAAUAUCUAACCAAUUGAAGUCAACAACAAACUUGAAGACCCUUCUCAUAGCCCAAGAAAUUAUCAAACUAUUACACCUCUUGUAUGAGGAUCUUACCACGUGAAAAUCCCCUCCAAUACACCAUGGAUUGCCUAAUGGCCACUGCACACACUCUGCAAUGCAUUAGAAAAUUGAUCCUCCCAAUCUAAAAAUUUGAAAGAAGGGGUCCAAGCAAGACAGUGAUCACACCUUUAAGCCACCAACCCAAGUAAAACUGAAGUUCCUAAACCAACAAGAAAGCGAAUCGGAAGCUUGAAAAUUUGCUUCCAAGAGCGUGACCGCACAAUUUCUUUCUUUUCUCUUUCUCAAUUGUUCUGUUAUUAAGAAUAAUUAAAAAUGGGGUCUUUGUUAUUAAACAUGGGCUUGUCUUGUUGAAGCAAACUCACAUGUGAACCAUAAAAACAGCCCUUAUAAACCCUAUUCCUAUAACAAAGACCCCAUUUUUAAUCAUUCUUAUCCAUCCCUAAACCAAACCCUAACCCAAAUUUUUCAUUGAGUGCUGAACUCUAAAACCAUCCAGCUGAAUUCAAAUUAAAACCCCAAGAAAUACAAAACCUCCACGGAGCUUAGGCAAAUGGGAGUGGCUCAAAACCCAGAGAUGUACCUCCAAGGAGGCCAACGCCAAGGCCGAUGCCGCAGCCGGCGCCGAAGCCGAAGCCAGGGCCGAGCUUGCCAACUUGCUUGGACUUGAGCACUGGAAGCUUCCACAGCAAACCCUUCUCGCCGUCGGCGUCCUUGUCAUCUCCUCCGUACAUCGCUCUCUGUCACCGGCUUACAGGCUUACCGCCACCACCGGCGUGUCGCCUUCGAGAUGGCCCCACUCUGAUAGAAGAGUUUCUCUGUUUUCAGGGAAAUUUUUAUCCGAUGGCAUCCAUCCAAAUGGGGGAGAAAAUAUUAAAAACUAGAAAGUAAGUGGAUUUCCUAAAAUACCCUAUUUUGUUAAAAGCUUACCAAAAAUUAAUUAAUUAAUUAUAAAAGAAAAUAAAAUAAUUAAGUGUUUACUUUAACACAUUUUCUUUCCUAUUUUUUAUUUUAAAAUAAUAAAAUAAUAGUAAUUUUUGUAUAAAAUAUAGGAAGUCAUAGAGGAAAAAAUUAAUAAUUUUAAAAUUUGUUUCAAAAGUUGAGGUAUGAAAAUAUUUUUAUUUUUUCAAAUUUUAAUUUUUUUUAAAGUAAUUUUAAAAAAAUAUGAGGUAAAAUCUAUGUCUCUUUACUAAAUAUUUUAAUUUUAUAUAGAAUUUUGUGAUUUUAAAAAUAAAAAAUAAAAGUACAAACCAAAUUUACACAAAUUUACUUCUCUUCUAAUUAAAUAAAAUAUAAAUUCUUUUUAAAUUUAAAUAACUUUCUUUAUUAUUUAUUUUUAAUCUUUGAGAUGGAAAAAUAUAAAUAAAUGGUUAUAUCACAUGGUGACACAAUACAACCAAGGUAACAACUACUUGUUUUAACAAGUGAUGUAAAUUUUAAAAAUUUUCCUUUAAUAUAUAAUUUCCCAAAACUAUUAAGGAAAAAAAAAAUAUUAAAAAAAAUGAUUUUUUUUUUCAUAUUUCAUUCUCCUAUGAAAAAUCAAAUAUAAUUAAAAAAAUUAUAGAUUUUAAAAUUUUUUAAUCUUCAUAUUAAUGAGUUAAAAUAAGUAAAAAUGAGUUUGAAGUAUUAUAUAAAAAAUUUUAUUAAUUUUAAAUUUAUUUUUUAUUUUUCUCUAUAUUUUUAUUUUUUUUAUUUUUUCUCUCUGUUUUCUUUUCUUUAUAUUUUUCCUCAAUUUAUUUGGAAACCAAAUAUAGCCUCAAUUAUUUUAAAUUUUAAGAUAACUUAAUAUGAAAAUAUGGUUUGCUACAAUAUGGUAUAGGAUGUUUUGUCUUGCAAAAAAAUGUAGUAUUUUAAAAAUUAAUGUUAUGUUAAAUUCCACAUGUUACGUACAAGUUCCACAUUAAAUGAUUUUGAAUUAUAAGGUAAAUAAUUAUGUAAGACCCUUAAGGUGCUAUUUGAGACAUAUUUGUAUUUUUCACUUUGUCUCACGAUGAAGUCAAGUCAAAAAUCAUAAAUUUCAUAUAAAUAUUUCAGUCUAUCUAGAUUUAUUUUUGAAGAAAAUAAAUGUUUUUAAAAAAAAAAAAACAAAAAGAGGUUUUAUAUGUUAAAUAAUUUGUUAAAAGAGUUUAUCUUUCGAAAAAAAAAUGUAUAAUAAGAAAAUAUUGAUUCUUAUUAAACCCAAGUUAACAUCAUGCAAGAAACAAUUCAAUGUGAUAAAAUUUUCAAAUUUCCAAUCCCUUUAAAAUUAAGGCUUUGGUUUUAACCUCAACUUUUAAACUUCAAAAUAAAUGUAAAGGUAGUAAUUAAUCAUGUUGUGUUGGAUUUAUGUUAUAUUAAAAUAAAUAAAUAAAAAGUGAAAUUUUACUUAAUGCAAUGUCCCAUAUUGUCAAAGAAGUGAAUUCGCUUUCUCAACAUGCUAUUAUUGUCUUUUCUUAAGGAUAUAGGUCCAAUAAAAGAAACAAAAUUAGAAUUAGUUGGUGGAUCGUGUGUGUCAUUAUAAUCUUGAAGCAGACAAUAUUGAGUAGAGAGUAAUGUUGUGAUAAAAUGGUAUCAAAGCUUAAUCUUAGUCGAAAGUGUACCAAUAAGGACUUUGGGUCGUGAAUUGUAAUAUCCCACAUCACCACCUUGAGAAUGAAUGAGGAAUAGUCAUAAAUGAAAGGUUUUUACAAUUGUUAAGGGUAUAGAGGCCCAAUAAAGAAAUAAAGUCGCAUGUGUAGUACUACAACCUUGAACUUGAUAAUACCAAGAAGAGUGGAGCCAUGACACUUAAACAAACCAUUUAUUAACCAUGUUAAAAUGACCUAAUACAUACAUAAUUUGUUUAGGAUAAUAAUAACAUGAUACAAUUUGUUUAAUAAAUGAAUUAGCUUACAUUAUGUACAAUAGAUAUAGAUAACCCAUUAACACAAUUUUAAAUGUUUUAAUUUUUUUUUAAAUUUUAAAUUUACAAUAUAUUUUUAAAACUUUUUAAAAUUUAAAAUUUUAUUUUUUUUCUAAAUCGUAAUUAAAUUAAUUAUUUAGUUUCCAACUAUUGAUGUGUUUAUUAGAUAGAAGAUAAAUUAAAGUUCCAAUUUUAUACUAAUUUAGAAUUUUAUUAUAAAAUAUGUAAAUUUUAUAAUUUUUUUAAAAUAUAAAAUUUAUUUUAUUUAAUUAUUUAGCUUUUUUAGUUUACAUAAUUUUUAGAUUUAUAAAAUUGAUAAAUUUAUAUGAGUUAAAUGAGUUAUAACUACUAGGUUGGCCCAUAAAUAAUUCAUUUUGAUACACUAAGAAUUAUUUUGUAUUUGGUUGAGAAUUAUCACAAUUUAAAUUAAUAAACUUUUUGAUAAUUUAUUCCUUUUAAGGAAUUUUCUAUUCACUGAAAGAAUUUUAAACUUUUGUAGACAUAAUUUAUAAAGUUGAGAUAUUUUAGAUAUUAAAACUACUUGAUUUUGAUUUUUAAUAAAUAUUUUUUCAUAAUUAAAUAUUUAGUAUCAUUUACUAUAUUUAUAUUUAUUUUGAAAUGAGUUAUAAUGAAAACCAUAUUAACCUAAUAUUAAAAUAGUGAUUAUUUAAAAAAAAAUCAUAUAGUUUUCUUUUAUAGAAGGACAUUAUAAUAAAAAAUGUAUGGUGAAUUCUCAUUAGUUAAAUUGUUUUGUAAACAGUUCAAUGAAUUCUUGAUUUUGAUUUGGAUUCCAUUAAUUGCAUUUCUUCUUAUUUUGAUUUUGAUUUUUUUUUUUUUAACUUUUCCAUUAUUUUUAUUUAAAAUACCUAGACAUAAAAUCUUAUUUCACUUGGAUUGGAUUAAUUUUUUUUUAAAAAAAAGAGAGAGAGAGAGAGAGAGAGAGGAGGAGGAGGAGGAGGAGGAGGAAGAGGAGGGUGUUAAAAGGCUUCUUGCAGGAGUGUUCUUGGGAGAGAGAGAGAGAGAUGAGUGUGACAACGCUAACUUUCUUCCCCAUCUCCAAACCCUUCUCCAUCUUCCAUAUUCACACCUCCAUUUCUCUCAGAAUCAACCCUUGGCCACCAAUACGACGUCGAAUGGUCUCCAAAGCAUCUCACAGUGCCCACCUUGGUUUAGCCGUUCAGGACGAUUUCCACGCUUUUUUGGAGGUAGCCCACCGUUUAACUCUUUCACUUACUUUCUCUGUGUAUUAAUAUCUCUUAAUUGGCCUCUUUGCUAGUAAUUCUCGAUGCCCUUUUCCACUUUAUUAUUCACACUUGACAUCUACACUUAGAAAUGUAUGUGUACACCUGCAUAUUUCUCUGAAUUUGAUACAUAGCAUCUAAAGAGAGGUUUUUUCCCACUGUUUUGUUUGGUUGGGCUGUUAUUUGAGGUUCUGUUAGGCAUUUUAUUUGAUGGGUUUUCUUCCAUUCAUAUUUUAAUGGAUGUUUCUGAAGAAACCGUUGGAUUUGUUGUGUUGUGUUGUACCCAUGUGCCCCAAUCCACUGUUAAGUUGCUCUGAAGGUAAAAGGUUCAUCCUUUUUAGUGCCUAAGAUCCCCUGGUGGUCGAUUUAAGCUGUGUAUUGUGAGGGUUGUUAAUCAAGUGGCUGGAUUGGAUUAUUUUCUGCUAUAUCAUUUGGUAGGAAUUCUCAGGUAUGCUAUGUAAUGUUUGCCUUGUACUCUGAAGUUGAAUGAAUUGCAAUCUGAUUUGAAUCCAUUUGCUUGUGGCAGAUUCUUCCUUGUGAUUUGCGUAACAAUCUUCUGAAUGAACCGAAAAGAGCUCAACUUCUAGAGGUGAUUUAUCCUCAGCUCUGUGAAAGGUUUCUUGGAUGAGUAUUGUACUGUGUUUAUCUAGAAUAGUUGGGAGAUUAUGCAGUGUCUACGACACUUCUGAUGCAUGUUUCUAUAAAUCAAAUUUUAAGUUCCUGCUAUUCUUGUUCUUUAUAUUCAUCCAAAAAGAAUGGGAUUGCUUUGGGAUGACAAAUUGAAUUUAGGAUUUUGUUCCUGGAUGGGGGUUCAGCAAGUUUGGUGCCUUCAAUUAUAUUCAGUAUUUUGCUCUUCUAUGGCAGGGGCCAGCAAUAUCUGCCAUAUGGAAAUGUUGAGAUCAACACAAGUCCUAACUAUAUUGUCUCCAUCUUUUGGGUUUCAGAUUUCAUUGUUGUAGGUUGAUUGAAUCCUAUUUUGUUUUAUAGACUCUCCAAUAACAUCUCAUCUAUUGUUCUGCUGUUGUUUUUAAGAGGAAAAGUGCAUAAGGACGCCAUAAGUUGUGUUGGGAAUAAACUGAAGGGGAAGGUUGAUUGCAGUUAAAGGAAACUUUAGCUCCAAUUAAGAUGAAUACACUACAGUUUAAAUGAUGUCUUUAUUGAUUUUUAUAAAGGGUACUACAGAUUACAAGUAACUUAUUCACAUCUCCAAUUGCUCAUUAUUUGAAUGUCAAAAUGAGCAUCAUCUUGAAAGUUAAGGUCCUUCAGAAACAGAUUUUAUGGGCUUGUUGCUUUUGCAGCAAAUGAUGGUUAUUUACUACUAUGUUAAUAGGUCAUUUUGGAUCUGGGUCGGUUGCCAGAAGCUCGCUAUUUGGGUGACUGCGGUGGCAAGUAUUUGAGGGAUACUCAGGUAAAUGCAUGCUUAUGAGCUGUUAGGGUUAUCCACAGUUUUUGUUAACAAAAUACAUAAAACAUGUAAUUUUGCUGCUGUUUGCUUCAUUGAUUUCACCUCUUCAUAGCGUAUAAAUGCAAAUUUUAUAGAAUUAGGGAUGAAAUUUCUUUAUACCAAGAAAAAUAUAGGAAAGGAACAAUUUCCCAGUGGGUUUUAUUUACCUGUUCAAGACAUAUCCUAUUAGCUAGGUAUCAAUGGAAGAAUUGGAGUAUGCUCAAAAUGCUGUCGGGGAAUUUGGAGGGGACAAUAGAGCUGGCAUUGAGGGUACCUUGCACAGGAUAUCUGCAAUCAGGAGUAGGAAUGGAGUGAUAGUUGGUUUGACUUGCCGAGUUGGUAGGGCUGUCAGUGGUCAUGUUGAUAUGAUCCGUGAUCUGCUUCCAUUUGGGGAGAGCAUCCUGUUUGUUGGGAGGUCAGUUUGCUAAAUUUUAUAGUUAGCAUAUUGUGAUAGGAAAACUUUGGGGCUAUUGGGUGUCUGGCCAUCCCAUGGAAAUGAAAUUGUUCCACAUAAUUCAAAGGAGUCUUAAGGUUUUCUUUUUACUAAUAUUCAAAUCAGUUACUCCAAAUUGUGUUAACUAUUUUUACAAUUUCACGAGAUGUUAUCUUUUACAUUUUUAUUAUCACUUAUACGUAUUGUCACAAUUUUAAAUUUUCUCCAUGAACCCAAUUUUGUUUUGUAAUGAAAAGCAGUAUUGUAAAAAUUGAAGGAAUCCUUUUUAUUUUACAUAGAAUAUGGGGGCUCACAUUUAUAAUCUUGAAUGUGUUCACUAAAGUUAAUCCAGCCAUUGAUCAAAUUAACAAUUUCUUGUAUUGUGUCAUUGUUCUCUUGGCAAAGCACAUUCUCAAAUUUAGUGCAGUGACAUAGAAUAUUUUGCUUGACACUAGGGUUUGCCACAGGAUGGUGGUUAAUCUGUGAAUAUGUAUUAUACUCUAUUAAAAUUUACAUUGAAGGUACAGGGAACCUGGUUUUACAUAAUUAUAACAUACUAUCAUAAAAAAUACAUUUAUUUCUUUUGAAUUUGACAGGCCUGGAGUUGGUAAGACCACUGUUAUGAGAGAGAUUGCACGGGUCUUGUCCGAUGAGCUUAACAGAAGAGUGGUAUGUUGAGUUUCUUGUUAUCACAUCUUCAUCUGUGUCUCUCACUCAUAUGUUCAUCUUCCUUAAGUGUCGUGAGUUGUCUACAAUGAAGUUAUUUUAACAAUUGGUGGACAGGUGAUUGUUGAUACUAGCAAUGAAAUAGGAGGGGAUGGGGAUAUUCCACAUGCUGCAAUAGGAGGCGCAAGAAGAAUGCAGGUUCCUGAACCCUCCAUGCAACACAGGAUCAUGAUUGAAGCUGUAGAGAAUCACAUGCCUGAGGUGAUCAUUGUUGAUGAGAUAGGCACAGAAGCCGAAGCUCUUGCUUGUCGUUCUAUUGCUGAGAGAGGCAUCAUGCUUAUUGGUACUGCUCAUGGAGAGCGGCUUGAGAACAUAAUAAAGAAUCCCACUCUUUCUGAUCUGGUUUGUUCUGAACUCUUAAAGAAAUUCUCAGCAUCAAAUCCAAGAUUUUUAAUGUCCCAUGUAUAAAAUGUCACAUUGCUCUGCUUUCUUCUCUUACAAUUUUUUCUCCUAUAAUUUUAGAACUAUUAGCUUAAAGAUAGCUUAUGCUACUUAGAUUGGGUUAAUCAAGAAGCAACUUGCUGCUUUGUAGAUGAUAAGCAAAUAGGAUAGGAAUGGAGAAAGUUAUAGUCUAGAUUCCUUGAUUCUACUCAUAUGUUACCUACAAAUCCAAUUGAACCUUGGUUCUAAAUUUAUCAUUGUUCUGUCUUCACCCCUUUUUAAUAUUUUUUCUUCUAUAAUGAUGUGUCUUUAUACAGUGGAUGUGGGCAUCUUACAUUUCAUUAGUACUUCUUUGUUUAUGUAGUAAUUCAAUAUUACAGUGAGAACAAACAAUUCUCAAAUGUUUGAUUCCUUUUUCUCUGUCUGCUUCAAACAUCACUGUGGUAUCUGUUGCCUAUCCACUUUACCAUCCCAGGUGAUGAUAUAGAGAAUUAAUGUAAUUGUGAAGGCUUUGGCUGAUGGUUUAGUACCCAUAUUUGUUAAUUGGAUUUGUUGUUUAUGCAUUGGUUUAGGCUGAGAGAGACAAAUUUCAUGCUGAUCAAUAAUUGAAAAUGGUAUCUAUAUUUUAUUUCAUUAUAUGGGUAAUAGAACUAUGUGGCAAAAAUUAAGGUUAUAAGUUGGAUGAAUUAGGUUUCAUUGAUUUCAAAUAUUAUUUUUAUUGCCCCAAUAGCAGGUAUUUGUCCCGCUGAGGAAGCCUUCUCCUUUUCAUCUGUUGUUAUCUCUUUGUUAGAUGUGGGCCUUUCGUCACUUCUUUGGAUGGUGCUUUUGUGAAUGGAAUAGAUGCUUUUGGUUAUAAUGAGAAGCUGUUGCAGUCAUAGAAAAAAAAUUGUAUAGGCUUAUAUAUAUUUGUCUAUUUUUUACUUUUGGAACUCCUCCUAUUAUUGUCAUUAUUGAAGUCUGCAUUUUAUUACAAUUUUAUUUUGAUAAAUGUCCAAGUUUUGUUAUAUAAGAGACAGCAUUUUUUUUUCCUUUGAAAAUUAUGUACUUUUCUAACAAUACAGUUUUCUCUUACUUUCUCGAUUGUAUGUCAGCUAGAUUUUAGCUAAUUUCCAAAAAUAGACACUUUAAAAUUCUUGACAUUUUUACAGCAUGUCUGGUAUAUGUUUUUGAGAUCGUCAUCUUUUCUAAUAGUAUUCUGGAUGUUGUUUUGGUGCAUACUGACCACUCAAUGUGAGAGAUGUCAAGUGACAUCUCAAGCUUUACUAGUAUAGCACCACUUCAACAGGGUUUUGCUUGUGAUGAAUAUAUGUUUUGAUAUCUUUACGCACACAUUCUGUUUUACUUGUUAUAUGUUUUAGUCUGUCAAAGACUUCUUAGGAUGUUAUUUCUAUUUCUCUUCUAAUGAUGUUCCUGACAUCUCACCUAUUGCUAGUACAGUCCUCCCAGUGAAACUUUUGAACUUUCCUAAACUGUCCGUAACCUUGCUGUAUGUUCCUCUCAUAAAUUCUCCGUAGAGAUCAAUGGUAAUUUAUAUGAAAGUCUUUAACCUCAUUUCUUAGUGCCUCAAAUUUCCCCCGCUAUGGGGCUCUUUUAGCGAUUAAAAUUCCCAUAAAACACAAAAGAGAGAGCAUUAUGUGAUGUAAAUUAUUUGACAAUGGUCUUUUUGACCCAUCUCAGACAUACUAAUUGAUUGAUAUGAUGCAAAAGUUUGGAAAGAAGGAACACAUUUCUCUGACGUAUUAAGUUAUCGUAUGCUUUCAUAUAUAAAUUUUGAGUUAAAGUUUCACCUUGAUUGCUUUUGUUGCUAAUAUUCAGGUUGGGGGAAUAGAAACUGUUACUUUAGGAGAUGCUGAAGCUCGUGCUAGAAGAUGUCAGAAAAGCAUUCUUGAACGGAAAGCUCUUCCAACAUUUCCUUUCUUGAUUGAGAUGAGAGAAAGACACUAUUGGGUUACGCAUUGGGUAUGUCAAUCUACCCCUAGUAGUAAAAAGAUGUUUUAAAAGCAGUGGGGAAGUUUGAAAAUUUUCAUCUAAGAUUUUCCAUCCAAAACAUUAGUGAUAUCCCUUUGAAAUUAAAACUCUUUCAGAAAGUGGUUAAAGAGGAAGAGAAAGAUCGGUUUAGAAAAAUAGUGAUAAAGUUUAUUUCACCCCAAUAUCUGAAACUCUACCCCUAGUAGUGAAUGAAUGAAUUUUACAACAAAAAUACCAUGAUAGUUUACAUGCAGAAUGUAUUACUAACUGGUGGACAGUUGCAGUUUUCCUAUUAAUUAGUGACAAACUGAGACCUUAUUAGAUUACUGAUUCGAUUCAUUCAUUUCAAUGAUACUUUUUCCUUUCUUCUUCUUCUUCUUCUUCUUCUUUUUAACUUUUUCUUUUUUCCUUUUUCCUCUUCUUUCUGCAGACACAAAGGAGUGUGGAUAUGUUGCUUCAUGGAAAAAGGCCACUGGUUGAGGUAAUCAUAUUAAUAGCUAAUUGCUCUUCUCAUUACUGAAGUCUUGGGAUUUUGUUAAAGAACACCCUUCAACCCACCAAAAGAAAACAGAGGGGAAAAAGGAAAUCUAAACGAAUUUGACCACACUUGCUGACAUGAGACUUGGAAUAUACUCUUUUUUAUAGGUUUUAUUAGAACCUAUUACUAUUAUUGCAGGUACUUGGAAUCCUUUUGAAUCAUUCAUUCAUUUGGAUCAAACAGUGCUCUAUAAAUCAUCAUUGAUGAUGUUUUUUUUUUCCUUAUUAAGUUGUCAGGUCUUGAAAAAUUUUUAGGGCUUAUUUGGAAACUAUCAUUUAAAUCAGUUUUAUGUUUUUUUAGAAUAAAAAACAAUUUUCUAACUUAGAAAACUUGUUUGUCAAAUUUUUAAUAGAAAACAGUUUUAUGAGAUUGAUUAUUAUUAUUAUUUUUUUCUGAAACGAUAUGUUUUUUUCAACAAAUUUGAGGUGUUUUCGGUUUUGUAGAGUGUUUUGAGCAACAAUUGAAAAUAUGGAGGACUCUUUAAGAACUUUUGUUUUUUAAACAGAUGUACAAUACUUUCAUGGAGAAUAAGCUGAGAAAAUUAUUUUGCAUAUUUGAGUUCUCAAACUUAAUUUUAUUCCUGGAAACAAUUAAGAACUAUUUUUAAGAAUUGUUCUCCAAAAUUAUUUUUUAAAGCUGUUUUCGAAAACAAACCCUUAGUUUCUAGAAUCUGAUGCUAAAGCUGUGCAUGGUGCUGCUUUUUGGCAGUUUGUGCAAUGUGCCUUAUUACACAUUAAAGCACUUCAAGGUAGAAGACCUUUGAGGUCUAGAACCAACUCAGUAUAGCUGAGAUUGAGAUUCUUUAGCAGAAUAGAAUGCUCAAAGAGUUUUUCGAACUUAUUUAUUCAUUUAUAUAUUUUGAGAGCAAUCUCACAUAGCCCUUUCCAAAGAAUCAACUAGCUAAAAGUUGCUGCUUCAUCAGAAGAAUUGGAUUACAGUAUUAAAAAUCAUGGAGUUGACUGAUAACGAUUCUUAUCGAACUGGCCUAGUGGUGUUUUUUUUGUGAUAAAUAUCUAAGUACCACCUUGCCUGAAAAGGCUUUAAUCCUCACAUCCAGAAGCUUUUCUCAAAGAAGGAAACACAGAACACUUUAUAUAUUCAUCUCUCCCCUUCUCUAUGCAUUUCUAGGAGAUAUUCAUGAGUGGGGCUCAUCCCUCUCCUCAUUCCUCUACCACAGAACUUUCUGGGACUUAUUCACACACUUUCGAAUCUUUCCUUUUUGUCAUUGACAUUUUUAUCCCCUUAUAUCACAUUUAUUUAUGAUGACCAACUUGUCGAUGUUUUUUCAAAGAAAUUUAACAGGAGUUUUAUGGCAACACCAAUAAAAAUAGGGACCAUGGUUUCCUAUACAACAUAAUAGUUGAUGGAGAACUUCAAAUCCUGUAGACAAGAUGGCUUGUAACUAACUAUAUGGCCUUAGGAAGAGCAGAAUCAUAGCAAAAUAUUCAUGGUUGAUCCAGAUUGUUGGGCCAAGGCUAAGGCCCCUUAUUUAGCUUAAGUCUAAGUUUUAAUUAAUUUAUUAUUUAUUUUACUUUACUUUUUGGAAGAGGGUGGUUCAAACAUUUCCUUAUCAUUAUACUGCUCUGCUCUUAAGUCUGGCCACUGAUACAGACUGCAAAACUGAAUUUUGCAGGUCAGGAGGAGGAAUGAUCAGUUCGAGGUUGUAAUUGAGAGAGGUACAUAUGAUGGAUCUGAGAUUUAGUUUCCAUUUUCAUCAAGUUGUAUCAUUCUCCACUAGGUGGCUGCUAGUCAUUGUUACAGACUCCCUUGUGUGGAGUCGCUCGAAAAUUUGUUUAGUUUGCUACAAAAGAUGUUAAAAUUUGUACUAUUUUUUUCUUUAAUGAUUUAUAUUUUGAAUAAUUUAGUCACAAGGUCUAUGGACAACCCAUUCAUAAAGCAAGACAACUUCAGCAUUAGCAGAUGCAAAGUGCAUAAUCCCUUAAUAACAAUGUUACAUGAGCAUAUUCUAUAAUGUUAAAGCUGGAAUGAUCGAAUGGUUCAGUCCACUAAGGAGAACUAAGUGUUACAAUGUCAUCAUCUUGCAUAAAGGUUGCAUGCAUUGUAGAUUUCUCCAGGGUAGAUUUCCCAUUUUAGAUUUCUCCAAUGUGAGCUGUGCUCGGAUAUUCCCAGCCAUCUCUCCAUUCUUUCCCUUCGCAGUUGUUUCUGACGUCUUUUUAAAAAAAAUUGACCCUUCAUUCUUCAUUGUCUCUUCCAAAAUGUGAGAUCUGUCAUUAUAGUAAAAGGUCUGUUCCUUCUUGAUCCCUUCCUCUCUUCAAUGAUCAUUUGUACAAUAAUUGAAAGAUCGGGAUAAGUCAACUCUUACAGAUGAACAGUGGGGUGACCCCCUUUUGAUACCCAAUAUUAUUUGGCUUCGAUUAGAAUUGCAUAUUUAAAAGACAGUUCCAUAAGGAUAUAAACUAAAAUAUAGUUCUGCAGUGGAUUUUUUGGGUAAAGGUCAUUCAGAAGAGUGUAUUCACUAGAAAACAAAUACGUGGAGAUGAAUUUAUGGCAUGAUACACCCAUAUUUAAAAAAGAAACACAAAACCGUGGGACUUGCACUAUUAGUAUUAUAAUGUAAAGAAACAUAAAAUCAUGGUACCUGCACUACUAUUAUAGAUUUAUAAUGUACAUAUGAAAUAGUUUUAAGCUAGUUUGGAACUAUGCUAGUAAUAAUCUGCCAUUGGUAGUUUAGCAACUCAUCUCCACUGCCUCCUCUCCAUUAUUUAUGCUCAGGAAGAUGAAUGUGUGUUGAACCCCUGAUCAAAGGUCAACUAACUCAAAACCUGUGUGCUAACAUAAUUUAUUUUUACACUUUGUUGUUGAUUGAUACUUUGUCUUCCAAUGAAAAGACCAUAAUAUACCAUGGCAUUUAAAAUCUAGAGCCAGCAUGCCCAGCGCCGGCAAACGUAGCAGAGCCGGAACAAAUGCUAGUUAUAUAUAUAUAUAUUAAUGCAUCCAUGCAUGGAUAUAUAUAUGCUAUCACCAACAUGGACAAGCCUUGCAUCUAUUAGUUGGCCGGCAUUCCUCCACAAUCUUUAUCAUAUUAUCAUGUGAUUUGUAAUCUACUGUGUCAUGUUGAGAACCAUACAUAGUAAAUUGAAGAUUCUCAGAGAAGAACAUCCAAUAUGAUAAUCAUUAUCUCAUGCGGACUGCUUUGUCAUGUUUCAAAUAAUGUUCUAGUUAGUUUAUUAAAUGCUUUUCUGAGUUUCACUCUGCUAAGUUCUCAAUUUAAUACUAUAGGCCGGCCAUGUUUAUACUCUCUGCAUUGAUCUCUCCAUCCAUUUGUCCUCAACUCAUGAUAUUAUUCUCACCCUUGUCGUUAAAAGCCUACUCACUCUCUACAGUGUCCAUCUCCAUCUCAAUUCGAAGAACCAUAGCCAUGGUGAAGUCCCUAGGGAACCUGCAUUUUCUGUUCAUACUAACCUUCAUAGCCUUUGUUGUUGCUUGUUUUUGUGAACCCACUGACCUCAUUUCUUCUUGCUUAACUCGGCACAAUGUUAAUAACUUCACGGUAUUGCCUCACAAGCAAAAUGAGUCCCCAGCUUACUAUAGGCUCCUCAACUUCUCCAUUCAGAAUCUGCGGUAUGCUGUCCCUACUGCCCCAAAACCAGUUGCCAUUGUUCUACCACAGAGUCGAGAGCAGCUAGUGAACACCGUGUCAUGCUGUAGGGAAGGAUUGUUUGAAAUUAGAGUAAGGUGUGGUGGACACAGCUAUGAAGGAACUUCCUCGGUUGUUUUGGAUGGAAAUCCAUUCGUGAUCAUUGAUAUGAUGAGUCUAAACCAGGUUCUGGUGGAUUUGGAGUCUGAAACUGCAUGGGUUGAAGGGGGUGCAACACUUGGUGAGACUUACUAUGCUGUUGCAGAAGCGAGCAAUGUACAUGGGUUCUCAGCCGGGUCAUGCCCAACUGUAGGUGUUGGUGGCCACAUUUCUGGCGGUGGAUUUGGGUUGUUGUCCAGAAAAUAUGGUCUUGCAGCUGACAAUGUGGUGGAUGCGCUUCUCAUUGAUGCAGAUGGACGCCUAGUAGACCGGGAAGCCAUGGGAGAAGAUGUGUUCUGGGCAAUUAGAGGUGGUGGCGGCGGUGUUUGGGGGAUUGUAUAUGCAUGGAGGAUCAAGUUGUUGAAAGUACCUGAAAUUGUAACAUCCUGUAUAAUGUCGAGAACUGGGACCAAGCUCCAUGUAGCUGAGCUAGUCCACAAGUGGCAAUUCAUCGCACCCAGGUUAGAACCUUCAUUUUAUCUAUCAGUUUUUGUUGGUGCUGGUUUACUGGGAGGGAAGGAAACUGGGGUUUCAGCUUCAUUCAAAGGGUUCUAUCUGGGUUCAAGAAGCAAGGCCAUGUCGAUCCUGAACCAGGUUUUCCCAGAGCUAGGCAUUGAGAUAGAAGAAUGCAGAGAAAUGAGCUGGAUUGAAUCCAUCGCAUACUUCGGUGACUUGGCCGAAGGAAGCUCCAUCUCUGAGCUGAGGAACCGAUACCUGCAAGCCAAACUAUACUUCAAGGCCAAAUCAGACUAUGUGAGGACUCCCAUUUCCAUGAAAGGCCUGAGGACUGCCUUGGACACUCUUGAGAAGGAGCCAAAAGGUUACGUUAUCUUGGACCCUUAUGGAGGAGAAAUGGAGAGAAUAGGCAGUGAUGCCAUAGCUUUUCCUCACAGAAAAGGCAACCUGUUCGCAAUUCAGUAUAUGGUGGCCUGGGAAGAAGACUCUCUUAUGAGCUACAAGUACAUAGAUUGGAUAAGAGGAUUCUACAAGUCGAUGACGCCGCAUGUUUCAUGGGGUCCAAGGGCUGCUUAUGUUAAUUACAUGGACCUGGAUCUUGGAGUGAUGGAAAUGGUGAAUAGCAGCUUUUCAUCUGGUGAUCCUGUGGAGAUUGCCAGGGCUUGGGGUGAGAAGUAUUUCUUGAACAACUACGAGAGGUUGGUGAGAGUGAAGACACUCAUUGAUCCAAACAAUGUAUUCAAUAAUCAACAGGGCAUUCCUCCAAUGCUCACAGCCGGAUUUAAAUGACAGGAGUGAGUGGCUGAGAGAGAGAGAUGCAUACUUGUAAGUUAAGAUUUACAUAUAAAAAACCUGUGUAUGUAUGUGCUAUAGACGUCUUGUGAUGACAGAAACUACUAGAGGGUUGUCUGUUUGUAUGUUUGAGGUAGCUCGUGUGUAUCUGCCAUAGGGUUGUGUGUGUGAGAGAGAGGAGAGGGGGGUGGUUGGCUAUUUGGGGUCAUUCUUGUGAGAGUCCUAUUAGUUUGUAGUGCAUCUAUUAUUGAUGGCACUUCUUUCAAAACAUGUUUUAAAAACAUGUGUUUUUAAAGUGUUUUGAUGAUAAGAUAUAUAGUAAAAAAAAGUGCUUUUUAGAAGUAGUUAUCAUGUGCUAGUUUAAAAAUUACUUCUAAGUAAUAAUUUAGAUUUUUUAAAUAUAAUUUUAAAACUUUACCAAACAAUUUUUAUGAGGGAAGCACUUCUAAACACCAAGUCUAGUUUUCUUGAUGCAUGUUUUUGGUCUAUUGUUCUAUGAAAGUAUGAGGAAAGGAAAAAAUAAAGUAUUAAAAAAAAAAUCAUUUUUUCAUGUGUCAUUUACAAUGAAAAACUGAAAGAAAAAUCUAAAAGAAAUGCUUCAAUAAGUCAUUGAACAUGAAAUUAUUUUUUUCUUAAUAUUCUAGAAAUGUUUCAAUAAAACAGCCUCCCUAAUUUUUUUUUUAAUCAUUUAAUAUCAUUGAAUAUAUUAUUAUUAUUAUUAUUAUUAUUUUUUUUUUUUUUAAAAAAAAAGAUUUUUUGGCAAAUCAUACUUUAUAUUUUUAUUAUCAAUGAAUCGCUUUGAAGGAUUCUUUACAUUUUAAGAGUAAUUUUCGAAAUUUUAAUUUUAAUUAGAAAACAUGCUCUCAAUCAUAUGAUUAGAGAGCACCUAGAAUGUUAUCAAAAUUGCUCCCAAAUAGACUUUAAUUCAUGAUUAAAUUUCAUGAAUUUUGUUGGAUCCUUCUUGGUUGACUCCAAGUUCUUAAUUGUGGCCCAGGAAACUUAUGGUGGGCCCAACCUUGGACGAAUGGCCUAGAGGAGAUGGGCUUGGGAUAAUGACACUAGAACGAACACCUUUCCCAAUUAUUAGAUUAGAACUUGAAAGAGAAUUAGGGAAAUUCAAUGCCCAAGAUGUCUCAUGCAUACUCCUAACAAGUGAGGUUGAUAUCUUUUUUGUCAUUGUGAUAUGAAUAGGUGGAUUUUAGGCUAUAAGAUUAAGGUGUGGUUGCGAAUGUUUCUAGUUAAGGUAUUUUUUUUUUUUUUGGAAUAAUGUUUUUCAUGUUAAAAGUAUUUUUUAGAAGUACUAAUGAAUAAACCUAAGAAUUGAUUUGUGAAAGAAUUUUGUUAAAAUGCUUUUAAUUUAUUACAUUUUCAUUAAAAAUACUUUUAUAAAGAAUCCCUUGAAGUGUUAAUAUACAUAUAUAUUUCAAUCAUUAACAAUCUUAAAAUCACUUUCAAAUGAACUCUAAAUGAUGACUAACUAUAGUCAAAAUCGAAUUUUAUUACUGCCCUCCUAGAUUCCAAGCUCUUGAUUGUGGGCCUGACCAACUGGCCUUGAGGAUAUGGUCUUGGGCAGUUGGGAUCCUUCAUCUACAUCACCCAGCUGGUUCAGCUUGGCCCUUGGCAAAUCUCUGUCGUUUUGUGAAGUUCCUUUUACAAGUGCUACAACUCUAGCUCAUUAAAAACAAGAUUUUUGGCAAAUCAUAUACACCUCUUAAAUUUUUUUUUCAGUAAACACCUAUUAACAUCCCUAAUGUUAUAGGUGUAUGUGAAUAUUUGAAAUGUCUUUUGUAGUGGUCUAGUGUCAGCCCGUUAGACCCUGAGAAAAAUUUGGAGUGAAUUUAUGGGGUGUGACAUCUAGCAUAGGCAAGAUUUGUUAGGGAACAUGCAAAGAGAAGUAGUUUAUCCUAAUUACUAAUUAUUUUGAUAAAGAUAAGAUUUAUUUACUGUGAAAAUUGUAAUUAUUAAUUAUUUAGAUACGAAUGAAAUAAGAUAUGGGACAAAACCUUAUUCCACUUCAACCAAUUAAUAUAACAUUUAGCUAAUAAAAGGGCUUUGAUACCAAACUUAUGUACAAAAAGCACAAGAAUAAAAGGAAAAUAGAAGCAGCAAAUGAAGAUUCUAACUUUUAUUGAAGCUCUCUAGAGGAGUUGUAUGGUCUCAAUUUUUUCUCCAAUGUUUUCCUUUUUACUAGUUCCUUCUAUUUAUAUACAAAUGACAAACUAAUUAAAGGUACCAAGAAAAGCUAAGAAUCCUUUUCUUUAUUCGCAUAGUAGUACAUGGUAAUGAGGAGCCAAUUUGUAGAGCAAAAGAUUAGGGAAAGCAACAAUGUAGAGACUUUUCCAAAUUUUUACAUUGUGAAUCUUGCCAACUCUUUCAAUGUGAAUGUUGACAAGAUGUGUCACGCCCCAAGACCCACUCUAAGGGCGUGACGGUCAUUUCACACCUCAAACCUAAAGGCUUGAACUGUAAUCUGACCAAAACAAUCAUAUUGUAACUAGAAGUAACCAAGUACUAAAUACCUAUUUAGAGUAACGGAACAAAAUUCUAAAAUAUUUAAACUUAACUUUAAAACUAAGCAUCCAUCAACCAAAAUCCAUUAUCCAAAUAGAUUGCAAACUCAAAUAAAUCAAAUGCUAAUAAAUUUUCAUAAUCUCAACUUCAAACUAUCAUAAAAAAAUUUGUAAGUUCAAAUCUAAAUGGCUUCCAAAAACCAAAUAAUCCAAAUGAACAUAAACUCAUAAGCUAACAAUGUCCAAAAAUAACAUUCUAAGCAAAAUCCUAAUGAUGACCUUUCCUCGACCUAGCCAUCACUCCUCGCCUGAACUAAGGGUAUUUGAAAAAUUAUCAAUAAAUAGGAAUGAGCUCAAAGCCCAAUAAGGAACAUUAAUGCAGUCAAUGGAUCAAAUAUUUCAAGUUCACUUGCAAAAUAGGAGAUAUUAUAACUAAUUAUUUUCAUAAACAUUUGAAUCAGUUUUGUCAAUUCAUUCAAAACUUUUAACUGUACACUUUCAUUUCUGAUUCAAACAUUUUCAUAUCAAAUUCAAUCAAAACAUUCAAAUUAUUUAUUUAUUCUGGUUAUCAAACAUCAAAUAAUGCCCAGUUAUGUGAGACUUUUCAAAUAGGUGGCUAACCUCAAAUUGUUCCUUUAUGAUGGACGGAACCAAACACUACUAGUACUAAUAACCUCUAACUAAACCCGUAGAGGCUGGGGUCCAAAUCAAUUACAUUAUUCACCAAAAAAUGUAAAAGUCAACUAUUAUACCCCGUUGAUAAGGGUUAAAAAGCCAAAAGUCAACUAUUAUAUUCUGUUGACAAGGGCCAAACAAACUGGAGUCAAACACUUAUUUCAAUUAUUCAAAUUUGUAAAAUAUAAUAUCUUCACAUUUCUCUGUUAUAAACAAAAUGUAAGGUUCUAACAUACUUUUCAUGCAAAACAUAUUUGAUCCAUGCAUAAAACGAAUAAUAACUGAAAACGUUUUCAAAUGAUGUAUAUGAAAAUUUGUUUCUAAAAAAAAACAACUGUAUUAAUUUCCCUUACCUCAAAAGAAGUCCUAAAAAACUUUAGAGAAAAAUAAUACUGAAAAUCUACUCUUCACCUAACAAAAUAUAAGAGAAAUAACCAUUACUAUUUAUCUAAAAUUAUAGGUUUGACAAUCCUAAAAUUUUAGGUAUUCAAAUUAACGUUUUUAAUUAUGAAAGAUAAUUUAAUCUAUUCCUAUUUUAGAAAAAUUAAUAAAUUUCUAAUUCAUAUAAAACUUAAUUUUAUUUUCAAUUUAUUUCUUGGGACACAACUUAAUUUAAUUAAACUAUAAUUUAUUUCACUAAUGAAAUUUUAUGUUACUUAUUAACUUAAUAUUUAUUAUUAAUCUAAUUAUAAUUCUAUAAAUUUAACUAAUUUGUACUUCACCUUAUUUAUUUAUACAUAGUUUAUUCUAUCACUUUCAUAUUUUCCAAAAUUACCAUAACACUCACACAACUAUCAUUGUAAUAUAUAUAAAUAUGUACAUACCAUCCACCUACUCACACACUCCACAUUUUAUUAUUAAUAAUAUUAUUAUUUUCCUCGUUCCUCUAUCUUCCAGUCCCACACACAUGCAACUUUUUUUCUCACCAUUCUUCUAUUUUUAGUGCACACACGUUCCUUUUCAUUUUUUAUUUAUUUCAUUACUUAAAUCUAUUCAUCUAAGAAAUUUUGAAUUUCCCUAUUUUUAUCAAUAGAGCAAUCUAUAUUCAUAAUUUCAAUAUUUUGACCUAAAUUUUUUUAAAUAAAUUAACCCUAACCUAAAAUCGAAAUCUUCCAAAGAAUUUUUUUUUUCAUCUAAAAACUUAAGAUUUCUCAAUUUCCAACAAUAAAUCAAAAUAUUAAAUUUCCAAUAUUUUGACAUUAAAAAAAAUUUAAAAAAAAUAAACUAACCCUAAUCUAGAUUUGGAUUUUCCAAAAUAUAUCUAAUGUGUUUGAAAUUAACUAAUGAAUCUAAAAUAUUAAUCUAGGGGUUAGAAUCUUACUUAUAGAGAUUUAUUCUUCAAACCUUGAAAUUUGAUUCCAAUCUUACGUUCUUUGUAAUUUUGUGAAUAGGAACGCUAUUCAGAAAAGAACAAGAAGAACAUAAUUUCUAAUUUAUACAUAGAGUAUUUAUUCAAAAAAUUGCAUUUUUACCCCUCUUUCAUUUUAUUAAAUUAAUCAAUUAAUUCAUUAAUUAAUUAAUUUAAUUAUUAUUAAUAUUUUCCUAAAUUACCCUUAAAAAAAACUUGGGCAUUACAAGAUGACAAGUCUUGGCAUUUUUUUUCCUUUAAAUGCUAACCAAUCUUUAUUUGUACAUGUUUAUAAUAUUAUUGCAUGAAAUACAUCAAUGCUGGGCAUUGUCUUUAUUGUUGUUUUUCCUUAUUAUGGUUUCAUUGCAUUUUCCAAAUUGUAAUUAUUAUGAUAUAAUAUUUAAAAGCAUGAAAUGAUGUAAUACAAUAACUUUUCAUUAAUUAAUUAAUUAAUUAUAAUUUCUAGUUCCUUAAUAUGUUUUAUGUAUAUAAAGUGGUAGACCAAUACCAUACACCAAUCAAUUUAGAAUAAAGGAGCAAUGAUUUCAAAAGAUAUAUCAAUUUGUUAUUUCAUUGUAAAAGAUUAGGUUAAUAUAUUUUUCAAAUUUUCAAGAAAAAUAUCAAAGAUUUCAGUUAUAUGAUUCAUAAAAAUGUUAAAAAUUUCUUGAUCCACAAAUUAAGGCAUAAGAUCAAAGAUUUCCUUUUUUACAAGAUAUAUAUUUAUAUAGGCGAGGUACAUGAUAAAAAUGGAUCUAACUAGGUCAUGAUAGACUAUAGACUAUGUUUCGUGUCCUUGUUUCAAGACUUUUUUUUGUUCUAAAUUGUUUGUACAAAAAAGAAUAUUUUUCAAAUAUCUUAUUAUUCAGGGUUUAUAAAAAGAAUGUUUGGGCUAAGGAAGAGUUACAUGCUCUAACUAUGUUCUCACCAACAAGUUUGCAUUAUUUUAAAAAUAAAAAUGUUGACUAGUCUGAUUAACUUGAUCUGAGUAACCAAAUUGGUUUGAUUAGUUGAUGAUACAUCAGUUAUCUAAAAUUUUCUUUUGGUUUUUUCCGAAUUUUAAGGUUUCUAAAUUUAUAGGUUGAUCCCAAAGUUUUUAAAGGUG